This 478-nucleotide ribosomal RNA is filed under the name uncultured bacterium. Its description in RNAcentral is "partial 16S ribosomal RNA". It matches the Rfam family "Bacterial small subunit ribosomal RNA", at positions 28 to 523 of the family's 1533-position model. The record is from RNAcentral.
GACGAACGCUGGCGGCGUGCUUAACACAUGCAAGUCGAACGGUAAGGCCCUUCGGGGUACACGAGUGGCGAACGGGUGAGUAACACGUGGGUGAUCUGCCCUGCACUUCGGGAUAAGCCUGGGAAACUGGGUCUAAUACCGGAUAGGACUCCUGGCUUCAUGGUUGGGGGUGGAAAGCUUUUGCGGUGUGGGAUGGGGCCGCGGCCUAUCAGCUUGGUGGUGGGGUAAUGGCCUACCAAGGCGACGACGGGUAGCCGGCCUGAGAGGGUGACCGGUCACGCUGGGACUGAGAUACGGCCCAGACUCCUACGGGAGGCAGCGGUGGGGAAUAUUGCACAAUGGGCGCAAGCCUGAGGCAGCGACGCCGCGUGAGGGAUGACGGCCUUCGGGUUGUAAACCUCUUUCAGCUAUGACGAAGCGCAAGUGACGGUAGUAGCAGAAGAAGGACCGGCCAACUACGUGCCAGCCGCCGCCGUAA